RNAcentral lists this ribosomal RNA (440 nucleotides) under uncultured bacterium. Its description in RNAcentral is "partial 16S ribosomal RNA". It matches the Rfam family "Bacterial small subunit ribosomal RNA", at positions 338 to 795 of the family's 1533-position model. The record is from RNAcentral.
CCUACGGGGUGCAGCAGUAGGGAAUAUUGCUCAAUGGGGGAAACCCUGAAGCAGCAACGCCGCGUGGAGGAUGAAGGUUUUCGGAUUGUAAACUCCUUUUGUUAGAGAAGAUAAUGACGGUAUCUAACGAAUAAGCACCGGCUAACCCCGUGCCAGCAGCCGCGGUAAUACGGAGGGUGCAAGCGUUACUCGGAAUCACUGGGCGUAAAGGGCGCGUAGGCGGGAUAGCAAGUCAGAUGUGAAAUCCUAUGGCUUAACCAUAGAACUGCAUUUGAAACUGUUAUUCUAGAGUAUGGGAGAGGUAGGUGGAAUUCUUGGUGUAGGGGUAAAAUCCGUAGAGAUCAAGAGGAAUACUCAUUGCGAAGGCGACCUGCUAGAACAUAACUGACGCUGAUGCGCGAAAGCGUGGGGAGCAAACAGGAUUAGAUACCCGGGUAGUC